This 273-nucleotide ribosomal RNA is filed under the name uncultured bacterium. Its description in RNAcentral is "partial 16S ribosomal RNA". It matches the Rfam family "Bacterial small subunit ribosomal RNA", at positions 81 to 354 of the family's 1533-position model. The record is from RNAcentral.
CUUACCGAUGGCGACCGGCGCACGGGGUGAGUAACACGUAUCCAACCUGCCGAUAACUCGGGGAUAGCCUUUCGAAAGAAAGAUUAAUAUCCGAUAGGAUAUCAAGGUCGCAUGAUCUUGAUAUUAAAGAAUUUCGGUUAUCGAUGGGGAUGCGUUCCAUUAGUUAGUUGGCGGGGUAACGGCCCACCAAGACGACGAUGGAUAGGGGUUCUGAGAGGAAGGUCCCCCACAUUGGAACUGAGACACGGUCCAAACUCCUACGGGAGGCAGCAG